Oryza sativa Japonica Group (Japanese rice) is the source of this 207-nucleotide microRNA precursor. It matches the Rfam family "MIR812 microRNA precursor family". Lineage: Eukaryota; Viridiplantae; Streptophyta; Magnoliopsida; Poales; Poaceae. The record is from Rfam.
AAAAACUCAAUUUCUAGGUUUCCGUGUCCAACGUUUGACUGUCCGUCUUAUUUAAAAAAAUUAUGAAAAAAUUUAAAAGUAUAAUUCACACAUAAAGUAUUAAUCAUGUUUUAUCAUCUAACAACAAUAAAAAUACUAAUCAUAAAAAAAUUUUAUAUAAGACGAACAGUCAAACGUUGUACAUAAAAACCCAGGAAUUGAGUCUUU